AGUGAACGUUGGCGGCGUGGAUUAGGCAUGCAAGUCGAGCGAGAACCGUAGCAAUACGGGGACAGCGGCGAAAGGGACAGUAAUGUGUAGGUACCUACCUCCGGGUUCGGGAUAGCUGCGGGAAACUGCAGGUAAUACCGAAUAAUGUCUCCGGACCAAAGGUGUGAUUCCACCUGGAGAGGGGCCUGCAUCCUAUUAGCUUGUUGGCGGGGUAACGGCCCACCAAGGCGACGAUGGGUAGCGGGUGUGAGAGCACGACCCGCGUCAUUGGGACUGAGACACUGCCCAGACACCUACGGGUGGCUGCAGUCGUGAAUCUUCGGCAAUGGGCGCAAGCCUGACCGAGCGACGCCGCGUGCGGGAUGAAGGCCUUCGGGUUGUAAACCGCUGUCGUAGAGGAGGAAAUGCAGGGGGGUUCUCCCCUCUGUUUGACCUAUUCUAGGAGGAAGUACGGGCUAAGUUCGUGCCAGCAGCAGCCGCAG
Molecule: ribosomal RNA, 482 nt
Filed under: uncultured bacterium
Lineage: Bacteria
Description: partial 16S ribosomal RNA
Rfam family: Bacterial small subunit ribosomal RNA
Source: RNAcentral